RNAcentral lists this ribosomal RNA (559 nucleotides) under Uncinocarpus reesii. Its description in RNAcentral is "eukaryotic LSU rRNA". It matches the Rfam family "Eukaryotic large subunit ribosomal RNA", at positions 58 to 632 of the family's 3401-position model. Lineage: Eukaryota; Fungi; Ascomycota; Eurotiomycetes; Onygenales; Onygenaceae. The record is from RNAcentral.
AAAGAAACCAACAGGGAUUGCCUCAGUAACGGCGAGUGAAGCGGCAAAAGCUCAAAUUUGAAAUCUGGCCCCGUCAGGGGUCCGAGUUGUAAUUUGGAGAGGAUACUUCGGGUGUGGCCGUGGCUUAAGUCCCUUGGAACAGGGCGUCAUAGAGGGUGAGAAUCCCGUCUUGAGUCACCGGUCCACGCCCAUGCGAAGUUCCUUCGACGAGUCGAGUUGUUUGGGAAUGCAGCUCUAAGUGGGUGGUAAAUUUCAUCUAAAGCUAAAUAUUGGCUGGAGACCGAUAGCGCACAAGUAGAGUGAUCGAAAGGUUAAAAGCACCUUGAAAAGGGAGUUAAAUAGCACGUGAAAUUGUUGAAAGGGAAGCGCUUGCAACCAGACUCGAGCGCAGGGUUCAGCGGGCAUGCGUGCCCGUGUACUCCCUGUGCUCGGGCCAGCAUCAGUUUCGGCGGUUGGUUAAAGGCCUCUGGAAUGUAUCGUCCUCCGGGACGUCUUAUAGCCAGAGGCGCAAUGCGGCCAGCCGGGACUGAGGAACGCGCUUCGGCACGGAUGCUGGCAU